CACAAGCAACAGGGCAGGCUCAUUCAAGUUGAUGUUCCUGCUCUAUUUUGUGUUGAACAUUUCGUUCCCAGAAGAAGUGGGCCUUACACUUGAAUUUAUUCAAAGGGGUAUUGCAAGCAUCAACCCACCGAGGGGCACCAAGAUUCUUAAAAAGAAGAAGAAGCAACACUGUGUGUCACCCGCGGCUGCCAAGCUGAUGGCUUUCCUGGAGGAAUAUGCCUUUUAAGCUGAAACAGUCUUAAAGCCUUCCUGAUUUAAAUAAAAGUGGCCGCCAAGUCAAGCAAACUAAUGGCACUAUCAAGAUUUCCCUGGUGCAAGUUCUCUUCAAUAUUUUUGUCCAUAAAAAGAAUACCAGGUAUAUACUCAGGAAGUGUAUCGUUAAGAGCCCAAGAGGGCAGAGUUAAGAGUCGAAGUAGGUAUGUUCAAUAAAUUCCAUUUAGUCUGAGCCCCAAGC
This is a long non-coding RNA of Ixodes scapularis (black-legged tick), 454 nucleotides long. RefSeq lists it as uncharacterized. The transcript is spliced from 3 exons. The record is from RefSeq and is a predicted model, not a curated record. NCBI's taxonomy places the organism in Eukaryota, Metazoa, Arthropoda, Arachnida, Ixodida, Ixodidae.